This 314-nucleotide ribosomal RNA is filed under the name Macrobrachium equidens. RNAcentral describes it as "partial large subunit ribosomal RNA". Lineage: Eukaryota; Metazoa; Arthropoda; Malacostraca; Decapoda; Palaemonidae. The record is from RNAcentral.
GGUUGGACGAAUGGGCUGUCUUUUUGGUGUAGUUUGAAUUUAACUUUUGAGUGAAAAGGCUCAAAUUUUUUAGUGGGACGAUAAGACCCUAUAAAACUUUAUACAAAUCUAGCUGAAUCUGUGAUUUUAGUGAAAAAUAGUUUUGUUAAGUCUGUAUUUCAUUGGGGUGAUGAAGAUAUAAUGGAUGUAACUGUCUUAAAAAUUAAAUAAUUGUGAUUAGAUCAUGAUCCUGCAUGUGUGGAUUAAAAGAAUAAGUUACUUUAGGGAUAACAGCGUAAUUUUCUUUGAGAGUUCUUCGACAGGAGUAGUUGCGA